RNAcentral lists this ribosomal RNA (470 nucleotides) under uncultured bacterium. RNAcentral describes it as "bacterial SSU rRNA". It matches the Rfam family "Bacterial small subunit ribosomal RNA", at positions 329 to 793 of the family's 1533-position model. The record is from RNAcentral.
CACUAUCAUCCUACGGGAGGCAGCAGUGGGGAAUAUUGCACAAUGGGCGCAAGCCUGAUGCAGCCAUGCCGCGUGUAUGAAGAAGGCCUUCGGGUUGUAAAGUAUUUCAGCAGUGAGGAAGGCAGGUACGUUAAUAGCGUGCUUGUUUGACGUUAGCUGCAGAAGAAGCACCGGCUAACUCCGUGCCAGCAGCCGCGGUAAUACGGAGGGUGCGAGCGUUAAUCGGAAUUACUGGGCGUAAAGCGCAUGCAGGUGGUUUGUUAAGUCAGAUGUGAAAGCCCGGGGCUCAACCUCGGAAUUGCAUUUGAAACUGGCAGACUAGAGUACUGUAGAGGGGGUAGAAUUUCAGGUGUAGCGGUGAAAUGCGUAGAGAUCUGAAGGAAUACCGGUGGCGAAGGCGGCCCCCUGGACAGAUACUGACACUCAGAUGCGAAAGCGUGGGGAGCAAACAGGAUUAGAUACCCUGGUAG